Molecule: ribosomal RNA, 429 nt
Filed under: Chloroflexota bacterium
Lineage: Bacteria; Bacillati; Chloroflexota
Description: Chloroflexi bacterium partial 16S ribosomal RNA
Rfam family: Bacterial small subunit ribosomal RNA
Source: RNAcentral
UGGGGAAUAUUGCACAAUGGGCGCAAGCCUGAUGCAGCCAUGCCGCGUGUAUGAAGAAGGCCUUUGGGUUGUAAAGUACUUUCAGCGGGGAGGAAGGUAGUAAAGUUAAUACCUUUGCUCAUUGACGUUACCCGCAGAAGAAGCACCGGCUAACUCCGUGCCAGCAGCCGCGGUAAUACGGAGGGUGCAAGCGUUAAUCGGAAUUACUUGGCGUAAAGCGCACGCAGGCGGUUGAUUGAGUCAGAUGUGAAAUCCCCGGGCUUAACCCGGGAAUUGCAUCUGAUACUGGUCAGCUAGAGUCUUGUAGAGGGGGGUAGAAUUCCAUGUGUAGCGGUGAAAUGCGUAGAGAUGUGGAGGAAUACCGGUGGCGAAGGCGGCCCCCUGGACAAAGACUGACGCUCAGGUGCGAAAGCGUGGGGAGCAAACAGG